GAGUCCGGCAGGGUGCGAAGGGACGCCGCUCGCCGGGACCAUUGCGCAUGCGCGCGGGGGCCCGUGAGCCCUUGCGAGCAGCCGCACCGGGGACCCCAGGACCCCAGGCCGGGGCUGAGGGCGCUUUCGACCCGCACGGAAUGGAAACGCGCGCGUUCGCUGCGAUUUGACACUUGCUUUGAAGGGAAGACCUUGGUUUUCCUUCCUCGUUCCUAAACCGCCCUGGAUCAAAUUCUUCUGCCGAUCCAUAGACAGGCGACCACAACAAAUAACCAGUUUGCAAGAGCUAUGCUGGGCCUCUGCUGACCUCAUCUCUACCACCUGUUCCUUCCCUCCAGCAAUCAGGAAAACACCCUUUACUUCUUAUGACUGCUGAUUUUCAAAGGAGUUUCCUGCAGAAGAGCUGCAGGGCCCCUAAUGACCCAGUUCUUUUCAUUAUGCCAUAGUCCCUUCUCCCAGAACUCACAAGCACGGUUGAAGUCAGAGGAUGAUCAGGCCCCUGUGGUACCUAAAACGUACCUAGCCUGACUCCCAGCAUCUGCUGCAUAAAGUAUUUCCUGGCUACAAGGAAGGAAGCGGAUGCUGACAAGAUUAAGCAAAAAAGGAGUCUGUUCAAAGAACAUUGGGCUGCUCAUAAAAUUGUUGCAAAGACUGGAGGAAACAAUCUUCGAAGAAAAUCACCCAAAACCAUGCAGCUCAACUGGCCUAAUGAGAAAACUAAGGAUGUUGCCCCAUCACCACUCAGCAACUACCUGCUGCCAGGAGCUCAGUUUGACUGUCACCACUGCUGCCAAAGGCAUCUAGCUUCUUCUGCAUCAGGAACUCAACCUUACAGACCAUCCUGUCCCCCCAACCACAUGGCUCUGCUGCCACCCUCGCCAGCAAGAGGAGUGCAUUAUUCAUCUUUUCCCCCUCCAAGCCCCCUUCCCCACCAGAAUCCCACACAAGUGCAUCUGACUGGAGGAGCGCAAGUCACAUUCCUGUGUUCUUGCUGCAAAAGAGCAGGAGAGGGAAGGAAGAUUCUGUCUUCUAACUUGGUGGAACUUAAAAGGGAAAAUCCUGCUAACAUCAGAAAGGUAUUCAAAAUCAAAAGGACCUUACCUUCCAGCUUUUCCACCAGAGGACGCUGUUCCGGGUCUGCACAUGGUCAUCUUCUUGUAGCUUCACAUGGUGAGGAGAGAGAGGAAGCAAGCCCUAUCUUGUCUCUUCUUAUCUCAGAUGCUUAUGACUGGCUGCCACUGACUGGGAAAGAGAAUCUACACUGGGAAUCGUCUAACAUCAGAGAUUCAGGAGACUGAGAAGUCCAAGACCAAGGUGCUGGCUGACUUUGCUCAUAGUGAAGACCCUGUUCCUGGUCUGCACAUGGCCGUCUUCUCCUUGUAGCUUCACAUGGUGAGGAGAGAGAGGAAGCAAGCCCUCUCUUGUCUCUUCUUAUAAAGACGCUCAUCUUAAAGAAGAUGUGGUGUUACUCGGCAAUCAAAAAGAAUGAAA
Molecule: RNA transcript, 1491 nt
Organism: Herpailurus yagouaroundi (jaguarundi)
Lineage: Eukaryota; Metazoa; Chordata; Mammalia; Carnivora; Felidae
Exons: 5
Source: RefSeq, a predicted model, not a curated record